This 746-nucleotide ribosomal RNA is filed under the name uncultured bacterium. Its description in RNAcentral is "bacterial SSU rRNA". It matches the Rfam family "Bacterial small subunit ribosomal RNA", at positions 104 to 851 of the family's 1533-position model. The record is from RNAcentral.
GGGUGAGUAACACGUAUCCAACCUGCCGUCUACUCUUGGACAGCCUUCUGAAAGGAAGAUUAAUACAAGAUGGCAUCAUGAGUCCACAUGUUCACAUGAUUAAAGGUAUUCCGGUAGACGAUGGGGAUGCGUUCCAUUAGAUAGUAGGCGGGGUAACGGCCCACCUAGUCUUCGAUGGAUAGGGGUUCUGAGAGGAAGGUCCCCCACAUUGGAACUGAGACACGGUCCAAACUCCUACGGGAGGCAGCAGUGAGGAAUAUUGGUCAAUGGGCGAGAGCCUGAACCAGCCAAGUAGCGUGAAGGAUGACUGCCCUAUGGGUUGUAAACUUCUUUUAUAAAGGAAUAAAGUCGGGUAUGCAUACCCGUUUGCAUGUACUUUAUGAAUAAGGAUCGGCUAACUCCGUGCCAGCAGCCGCGGUAAUACGGAGGAUCCGAGCGUUAUCCGGAUUUAUUGGGUUUAAAGGGAGCGUAGAUGGAUGUUUAAGUCAGUUGUGAAAGUUUGCGGCUCAACCGUAAAAUUGCAGUUGAUACUGGAUAUCUUGAGUGCAGUUGAGGCAGGCGGAAUUCGUGGUGUAGCGGUGAAAUGCUUAGAUAUCACGAAGAACUCCGAUUGCGAAGGCAGCCUGCUAAGCUGCAACUGACAUUGAGGCUCGAAAGUGUGGGUAUCAAACAGGAUUAGAUACCCUGGUAGUCCACACGGUAAACGAUGAAUACUCGCUGUUUGCGAUAUACUGCAAGCGGCCAAG